This 234-nucleotide long non-coding RNA is filed under the name Danio rerio (zebrafish). Its description in RNAcentral is "si:dkey-283f18.3 (ENSDARG00000096733.2)". The record is from RNAcentral. Lineage: Eukaryota; Metazoa; Chordata; Actinopteri; Cypriniformes; Danionidae.
GGAGAAAAAAUAUGAACUGGUGGACUGUCAUGGUCCCCCUGUGGAGGACCCCUGAUCUAAACAGGAAGAUCCGGCUUCUGUGGAACAGACAUAAUCGAUUCAAGUGGAGGUUUCACCGCCCCGGGCUUGCUUUCUUUUUCCCAAUGAAAACAGACCAGCCUGCCUGAGGCGUGGGUUAGCCGGGCAGCGCAGCAAUCACAGCUUGAUUUCUCCAUGAGUAAACAAGAGUGAGUC